GCCUGGGUGGCUCAGUUGGUUAAGCGUCUGACUUCGGCUCAGGUCAUGAACUCACGGUCUGUGGGUUCGAGCCCCGUGUCAGGCU
This 85-nucleotide transfer RNA is filed under the name Felis catus (domestic cat). It matches the Rfam family "tRNA". Rfam says of the family: Transfer RNA (tRNA) molecules are approximately 80 nucleotides in length. The record is from Rfam by way of RNAcentral. Lineage: Eukaryota; Metazoa; Chordata; Mammalia; Carnivora; Felidae.